Molecule: ribosomal RNA, 229 nt
Filed under: uncultured bacterium
Lineage: Bacteria
Description: partial 16S ribosomal RNA
Rfam family: Bacterial small subunit ribosomal RNA
Source: RNAcentral
UGCGUAGGCGGGCUAAUAAGUCAGUGGUGAAAUCUCUCGGCUCAACCGGGAAACUGCCAUUGAUACUGUUAGUCUUGAGUUCGGUUGAGGUAGGCGGAAUGUGUAAUGUAGCGGUGAAAUGCUUAGAUAUUACACAGAACACCAAUUGCGUAGGCAGCUUACUAGACCGACACUGACGCUGAGGCACGAAAGCGUAGGUAGCGAACAGGAUUAGAUACCCUGGUAGUCC